UACGGGGGGAGCAAGCGUUGUUCGGAUUUACUGGGCGUAAAGGGCGCGUAGGCGGCCACCGCAAGUCAGUUGUGAAAUCUCUGGGCUUAACCCAGAAAGGUCAACUGAUACUGCGGGGCUAGAGUGCAGAAGGGGCAACUGGAAUUCUCGGUGUAGCGGUGAAAUGCGUAGAUAUCGGGAAGAACACCCGUGGCGAAGGCGGUUCUCUGGGACGGUACUGACGCUGAGACGCGAAAGCGUGGGGAGCGAACAGG
Molecule: ribosomal RNA, 254 nt
Filed under: uncultured bacterium
Lineage: Bacteria
Description: partial 16S ribosomal RNA
Rfam family: Bacterial small subunit ribosomal RNA
Source: RNAcentral